UCCAGACUCCUACGGGAGGCAGCAGUGGGGAAUAUUGCACAAUGGGGGAAACCCUGAUGCAGCGACGCCGCGUGAGUGAAGAAGUAUUUCGGUAUGUAAAGCUCCAUCAGCAGGGAAGAUAAUGACGGUACCUGACUAAGAAGCCCCGGCUAACUACGUGCCAGCAGCCGCGGUAAUACGUAGGGGGCAAGCGUUAUCCGGAUUUACUGGGUGUAAAGGGAGCGUAGACGGCAGCGCAAGUCUGGAGUGAAAUGCCGGGGCCCAACCCCGGAACUGCUCUGGAAACUGUGAAGCUGGAGUGCAGGAGAGGUAAGCGGAAUUCCUGGUGUAGCGGUGAAAUGCGUAGAUAUCAGGAGGAACACCGGCGGCGAAGGCGGCUUACUGGACUGUAACUGACGUUGAGGCUCGAAGGCGUGGGGAGCAAACAGGAUUAGAUACCCCAGUAC
RNAcentral lists this ribosomal RNA (446 nucleotides) under uncultured bacterium. Its description in RNAcentral is "bacterial SSU rRNA". It matches the Rfam family "Bacterial small subunit ribosomal RNA", at positions 330 to 793 of the family's 1533-position model. The record is from RNAcentral.